RNAcentral lists this long non-coding RNA (4630 nucleotides) under Sus scrofa (pig). Its description in RNAcentral is "lncRNA (ENSSSCG00055001104.1)". Lineage: Eukaryota; Metazoa; Chordata; Mammalia; Artiodactyla; Suidae. The record is from RNAcentral.
CAUUUCUUUGGCCGCUCCCACGGCAUAUGAAGGCAGGCUAGGGGUUGAAUCAGAGCUGUAGUCGCGGGCCUAUGCAAGAGUCAUAGCAACGCGGGAUCUGAGCCACGUCUGCAACCUACGCCACAGCUCAGGGCAACGCCAGAUCCUUAACCCACUGAGCAAGGCCAGGGAUUGAAUCUGCAACCCCAUAGUUGGAUUCGUUAACCACUGUGCCAUGACGGGAACUCCUAUACUUCUUCCUUUCUUUCUUUCUUUAGUCUUUUUAGGGCUACAUCCUGGGCGUAUGGAAGUUCCUAAGCUAGGGUCAAAUCAGCUUACUUGUGCAGCAAUGCAGGAUCUGAGUCAUGUCUACGACCUAUACCACAGCUCACAGCAAUGCCAGAUCCUUAACCACCUUGAGGUGGAUCAAACAAGAUAUUGGUGUUAUUUAUGUCAAAGAAUAUCCUGCCUAUGUUUCCCCCUAGGAGUUUUACUGUCUGUAGCCUUAUGUUUAGGUCUUUAAUCCAUCUUGAUUUUAUUUUUGUGUAGGGUGUUAGGGAAUGUUCUAAUUUCAUUAUUGCAUAUGGUUGUCCAGUUUUCCCAGCACCACUUAAUAAUUAAAUAGAAGGUCCUUCCUCCACUGUAUUUUCUUGCCUCCUUUGAAAUAGAUUAGUUGAAUACAGGUGAUUGGGUUUAUUUCUGGGCUUUCUAUCCUGUUCCAUUGACCUAGGAUAUGUGGUACAUAAACACAACGGAAUAAUACUCAGACACAAAAAAAUAAAGCAGUGUCGUUUGCAGCAGCAUGGGUGCAACUAGAGAUUCUCACACUAAGUUCAGUAAGUCAGAAAGAGAAAGACAAAUGCCAUAUGAUAUCACUGAUAUGUGGAAUCUAAAAUAUGGCACAAAUGAACCCAUCUACAAAACAGAAACAGAUUCGCAGAGAUUGAGAAUAGACUUGUGGUUGCCAAGGGAGAGAGAGAGGGAGUGGGAUGGACUGGGAGUUUGAGGUUAGUAGAUGCAAACUGUUACAUUUAGAUUGGAUAAGCAAUAAGGUUCUACUUUAAAGUACAGGGAACUGUAUUGUCUCUUGGGAUAUACCACAGGUACUAUUAGAAAGGGGAUAUAAAUAUAUGUAUGACUGGGUCACUUUGCUGUACAGGAGAAAUUGGCACACCACUGUAAAUCAACUAUAACUUAAUUUUAAAAAUAAAAUAAAAUAAAAAAAUUUAGAAAAGAAAAAGAAAUGUGAUAGGUCUGAGAGUUUACCCAACUUGCAAUCUAACAAAUUAACCUGCUACAAGGUUCUGGGUGCUGACAGAAGACACAAAACCCCUACAUCAUAAUCAGUGGACUUUGCUACCCACAGAACAAUAGACAACAUGAAAUUUAUGCCUCUGUUUGUUCUCUUGUCCUGCAAUGCCCACAGAAGGCACAAGGAACGACCCAGAGUAAUGCUGUCCAUCAGUACUGAGGAAUACUAAGCUGAGGGAAGCCUAAUCUUUUAAAUGUGUCAUACAUAAAACUUCCCAAAGCCUGCCACUGAGGAAGACCAUCUUUAUUAUACUGGUCAGAAACAGGUAUGCCUAUUGCCCUGCGUUAGGGCAAUAGGUUACCUAUCUCAUUAGGUUACCUAACUCAUUGGCACUGACACUGGAAAUAGUGAGGGUUCAAUGCGGCUUUCAAUCCGUACUUGUGGGUUCCAAUUAGUUCUCAUAGUGUCCAAGUUUGUCCUGGCUCUCCCUUAAUACAAGUCAGUCUUUCUAACUGCCUGGGAUGAGGUAUAGAAGCAACAAGGGUACACAUGUCGUUUAAUAAGCUCUCCUGUUGUUUUUGGCCGAAUUUUCUAAAAUAAAUCUCAUAUUCCAUAGAAGUCCUACUGUUUCCAUUUCUCCCAUAAAUACAAUAUUUUCAUAGUUGGAAUUACAAAAUCAUAUAGCAAAAUUGUGGCUACAGGCAGAGAUUGAAAGGUAAACCAGAGACUGUUAAAUGAUUAAAUUUUCCUUUGUAACUUUAUUUACUGCCGUUAGGUCAACGGGUUUGACAGAAAGGAAUGAAGUAUUUGUGAUAUCAUAUAUAUCUCUUUAAAUAUCCAAUAUCAAAGGGAAUACAUAGGAAUCAGUAUUAGAAAAUGAUACGUAAGCAUCAGUUUAAAUCCAAGAAAUAAGGAAUAGAGGCAGAAAUGAUGUCAGGUUCAAACCCAUGGCUCUAGGCUGGACUACAUCAAAAAUAGAGGGAUUAGAGGUAUUGGCAUGAAAAUGGAAUUUUGAAAGAAAAUCAGCAAGGCAGGAAGGAACAAAUGACUGAAAUGUGUUAAAAUAAAGUGAAGACGGGAGUGCUCAUAGGAAAAAAAUUUUAAUGCAAGAAAUUUUAAAAAUAGGAUUAACAAGUAUACAUAAAUCUACCAGCAGAAUAUUUUCCCUCAGAUGUUUUGUUAUAAAUAUUAUAAAAGUUAACAAAUAUAUAAAAGGUUGUUAUUGUUUUUAUUAACACAUCAUAUAAAUGACAUGUUAAUUUUUUCAUUAAAAUAAAUCCUAAAUAUCAUUUUAGUGGCCACUAUAGAGUCAUCUAAGAUAUACCAUAAUAUAAUUGAACAAAUUGGAGUAUUUUAAUAUUUUUACUUCCUUGGUAAUUUAAGUUUGAUAUAUGUAGAAUAUAAAACAAAUUACUUAUAAAUACCAUAUUCAAAUUUAUAUAUAUUGAGUUAUUUCUUUUGCUUGGUACAUAAAAUCCUGUAAGGACUCUAAAUACUUGCAAUUAAACUGCAUUUUAUGUAGAUUAUACCUCUUAAUAAACCUGUAAGAAGUUUAUUAUUUUACUAAAAAUGCUUCUAUAAUUAGUGUUUAUAUUACAUUUUAAUCAUUGUUAAUAUGAUAGGGGAAUAUGACACCUUGUGUUUUUUAUUUUAAUUUUUGAUAAUUCAUGAGAAUGAUUUUUCAUGUUUAUUUAGCUUUUAUGGUUAUUUUUAGGAAGUAUAUGUGCAUGACAUUUAUCUAAUUAUUUAUUAGACACAAUUUCUUUUUAAAUAACAUUAUUUAUAAGCAAAAGAAAUUUGUUGAAAUUUUGAAAAAUAUUCUUCCUUGUUGAUAUUUGUCUUAUAGUUUUGCCUCUACCUGUUUUUGUUGAUAAAUACUUUAACAUAAUUUAAUAUGUAAAAGUUUGCUUUUCCUUUCUCUUGAAAAGUUAAAUCUCUAUAUCAUUUCAAAAUUUUAGAAACUGUAGUCACUUAAAAAAAACUAUUUAAUACACUUGGAAUAUAGCUUGGAAUUGAGGCAACUGCAACCACGAGGUAAAUAUCAUUUUACAGACUCUCCUCCAGCUAAGUCUGAAGCAAAUUUUAUCAGUAACAAUUGUAUAUCGUUAAUUCUAUAUGGUGAUGUGAUGUGCUGAUAAAUGUUUUAAAAAUAGCUAUCAAUUUUCAUGGUGUAAAUUACUGGCACUGUGGACUAUUUCAAACUACCAAUGUGAUCUAUCUGAAAGCAGAAUUGAUAAGAGAUGUGCAGAAUUGGCUCUCGUGGGCAUUUACUGGGGAUCCAGCACUCUCUGGUUCCAUAUCUAGGGUUUAUUUUUGCACUGAAAAAAGUGUCUACUCUUCUGUAAUUCACAUUUAUUUAUAAUAUACUUUAAUGUCUGCAAAGACAUUUAGCUUUAAUCACAUUUUUCAGAAAUUAACCUAAGUAUUCUAUCACUUUUUUCAGAAAAUGUAAAAUUACAUUUACUAAAACUUCUAUUGAUAUUAUAUUUAAUAUGUAAAUUAUCUUUGAGAAAAUGGCAUAUUUAAAAUAGUUUAAAAUGUUCAUUAAUAAAAAAGUAUCUUUCUUUGUCUUAGUUUAUGUGUUGUAGAAUUUUUUUUCCUGGUCUUCAGUUUUCAUAUCCAUAUUCAUUACUGUACUUAUUUUAAGGUGUAUUUACAUUUUGUUAUGGGUGCAUUUACUUAUUUAUUUAUGCUAUUAUGGAAGAAUGGAGUCUUUUACUUACCCAUAAGUCUUAGAACUGACUUUUGCUAAAUAAUUAUUUGUGCUUUACUUUAAUGUAGUACUUCAUCUCUGUUACUGAACUCACAUUGGUUCUAAAUGGGUUUGGUUGAAGUUCUAAGGCUUUCUAGAGAGAAAGGAUAGUGUGAUAGUUAAGAAUAUAAGAUCAAAGGAUCACACAGAUUAAAUCUGCAUUCUGGCUUUGUCAUGUACUGGGUGUAGUUCCCUGUGCUGUACAGUAAGACCUCAUUGCUUAUCUAUUCUAAAUGUAAUUGGUUGCAUUUACGAACCCAGUCUCCUGGGAUAGAUGGCAAUGGAGGAUGAGAAAAAGAAUGUGCGUAUAUGUAUGUCUGGGUCACUGUGCUAUACAGCAGAAAUUGAUACAACACUAUAAAUCAACUACACAUUAAUAAAAAUAAAUUUAAAAAACAAUAACAAAAUAAAAUAAAUUUAAAUAUUUCUAUCCUACCUCUAAUUCCCAAUUAUUUGACUCUCUUCUCAGCUAAAUGCUAUUACCUAUGUCCUGUAUGCCUGCCAGAAAUGUUUUAUACAUGUACCAGCAAAUAUGGACAUAUGCAUACAUAUGUAUGUAUUUUAUUUUUACUUAUACAAAUGGUGCUAAUAAUCUGCAUAUUACUUCUUUUGCUUAAAUGUAUCUUGGGAAAUAUUCCAUAUUGAUA